This 87-nucleotide transfer RNA is filed under the name Dendronalium phyllosphericum CENA369. Its description in RNAcentral is "tRNA-Ser". It matches the Rfam family "tRNA". Rfam says of the family: Transfer RNA (tRNA) molecules are approximately 80 nucleotides in length. Their secondary structure includes four short double-helical elements and three loops (D, anti-codon, and T loops). The record is from RNAcentral. Lineage: Bacteria; Bacillati; Cyanobacteriota; Cyanophyceae; Nostocales; Nostocaceae.
GGAGAGGUGGCAGAGUGGUUGAAUGCGACGCACUCGAAAUGCGUUAACUCGGCAACGAGUUCGUGGGUUCAAAUCCCACCCUCUCCG